CAUCGUUUCACAAUGUUUCCAUCACCAUCAUCAGUGGAUGCCUUUGCCGUCCGUAGCCUGAGAUUUCACAUUUGCAGCAACAUUUUUUUGAUUUUCUCAUUUAUUGGAAUGCUGUGCAGGUUGUACCUUGCAGCCAUCCAUUACAAUGUCACCAAGCCGUAACAAAAGCAGGAGAGGGAAAGUACAAGGCUAUGUUCCCAAAACACACAAGUGACAUACCUUAUGUGGAUGAUGUGAUCAGGCUUGUGUUUGAUGAGGUAUUUGAAGAUAAGCUGAAGGAAACCCCGAUUCCAAUGGACCUGGCAUCACAGUUUGAGAGACCUUCAAAGGAGGACGUGAUUGCAUGCCAUCUUCAGUGCAGGGGUCGUCGAAAGCCAAAAUUGUGACCGAUCUGAUCAGGAAGCUCUAAGCAUAUCUGGAGAACAACACACGACAGGAUGAUAACCUUAUAGUGUCGUCUUAAAUAGCACCAGCUGACAAAGCUUUGAUAUGCCAUUUAUAGAUAGCUGUAAGAAAUGAAUUGAACAAUUUUUGAAACAA
This is a non-coding RNA of Paramisgurnus dabryanus, 540 nucleotides long. The record is from RefSeq and is a predicted model, not a curated record. NCBI's taxonomy places the organism in Eukaryota, Metazoa, Chordata, Actinopteri, Cypriniformes, Cobitidae.